AUUGAACGCUGGCGGCAGGCCUAACACAUGCAAGUCGAGCGGUAGAGAGAAGCUUGCUUCUCUUGAGAGCGGCGGACGGGUGAGUAAUGCCUAGGAAUCUGCCUGGUAGUGGGGGAUAACGUUCGGAAACGGACGCUAAUACCGCAUACGUCCUACGGGAGAAAGCAGGGGACCUUCGGGCCUUGCGCUAUCAGAUGAGCCUAGGUCGGAUUAGCUAGUUGGUGGGGUAAUGGCUCACCAAGGCGACGAUCCGUAACUGGUCUGAGAGGAUGAUCAGUCACACUGGAGCUGAGACAGGGUCCAGACUCCUACGGGAGGCAGCAGUGGGGAAUAUUGGACAAUGGGCGAAAGCCUGAUCCAGCCAUGCCGCGUGUGUGAAGAAGGUCUUCGGAUUGUAAAGCACUUUAAGUUGGGAGGAAGGGCAGUAAAUUAAUACUUUGCUGUUUUGACGUUACCGACAGAAUAAGCACCGGCUAACUCUGUG
Molecule: ribosomal RNA, 484 nt
Filed under: uncultured bacterium
Lineage: Bacteria
Description: partial 16S ribosomal RNA
Rfam family: Bacterial small subunit ribosomal RNA
Source: RNAcentral